UACUUAUAUUUAUACAAUAAUAUGUUUAUUUUCCAAAUUAUAUUUAAUUAUAUGAUUGAAAUUUAUGAAUGAUUGAUGUCUCAAUUCAACAAAUAUUAAUCAAAUCAAGGUAUCCUUCUAUCUUAAAAUUCCUAUCCAUCCCUACCUAAGCCAAUUACCAUGGCACAACCCAACUUAACUUGGCUAACCCAACCCAACCUAGCUAGCCUGACCAAACUCGAAUUUAGCUUAAGAUCAGUUGGGCUAGAUUAGGCUUUGCCUUUGACUCGAUGCAAACUGUCUGAGCUGCAUUC
This 293-nucleotide long non-coding RNA is filed under the name Elaeis guineensis (African oil palm). RNAcentral describes it as "long non-coding RNA (EGUI_LNC040860)". The record is from RNAcentral. Lineage: Eukaryota; Viridiplantae; Streptophyta; Magnoliopsida; Arecales; Arecaceae.